RNAcentral lists this long non-coding RNA (1182 nucleotides) under Zonotrichia albicollis (white-throated sparrow). Its description in RNAcentral is "lncRNA (ENSZALG00000000215.1)". Lineage: Eukaryota; Metazoa; Chordata; Aves; Passeriformes; Passerellidae. The record is from RNAcentral.
CCCCAAAUCCACAAAGUGUCACCAAAUCACCGAUGGUGUCCCCAAAAUCCCCUCUGGGUCUUUUCCUGUGUCCCCUCUGUGUCCCCAUCAUGUCCCCAAAGUGUCCCCAAAUCAACAAAGUGUCACCAAAUCCCCUCCAGGUGCCACUUUGGUGUCCCCAAAUCCUCUCCAGGUCCUUUCCUGUGUCCCCUCUGUGUCCCCAAAAUGUCCCCAAAGUGUCCCCAAAGCCCCGCGGUGCCACCCUCAGUGUCACUUUGCUGUCCCCGCAAAGUGUCCCCAAAUCCCCACCCUCGGUGUCCCUAAAUUCCCUUUUAUGUCCCCUCCGUUUCCCUUUGGUGUCCCCAAGUCCCCUCCAGGUCUUUUCCUGUGUCCCCAAAGUGUCCCCAAAUCCACAAAGUGUCCCCAAAUCCCCGAUGGUGUCCCCAAAAUCCCCUCCAGGUCUUUUCCUGUGUCCCCCAAAAUGUCCCCAAAGCCACAGAAAUGUCCCCAAAGUGUCCCCAAAUCCCCGAGGUGCCACUUUGGUGUCCCCAAAUCCCUUCCAGGUCUUUUCCUGUGUCCCCAAAGUGUCCCCAAAUCACCGAUGGUGUCCCCAAAUCCCCUCCAGGUCCUUUCCUGUGUCCCCAAAAUGUCCCCAAAGUGUCCCCAAAUCCCAAAGUGUCACCAAAUCCCCGAUGGUGUCCCCAAAAUCCCCUCCAGGUCCUUUCCUGUGUCCCCAAAGUGUCCCCAAAUCCACAAAGUGUCACCAAAUCACCGAUGGUGUCCCCAAAAUCCCCUCCAGGUCUUUUCCUGUGUCCCCUCUGUGUCCCCAAAGCCACAGAAGUGUCCCCAAAGUGUCCCCAUCAUGUCCCCAAAGUGUCCCCAAAGCCACACAAGUGUCCCCAAAGUGUCCCCAGAUCCUCUCCAGGUCCUUUCCUGUGUCCCCAAAGUGUCCCCAAAUCCCAAAGUGUCACCAAAGCCCCGCGGUGCCACCAUCGGUGUCCCCAAACCCCCUCCAGGUCUCUUCUUGUGUCCCCUCCGUGUCCUCAGGUCCCUUCCUGUGUCACCUCUGUGUCCCCAAAUCCCCUCCAUGCCCCUUUUGUGUCCCCAAGUCCCUUCCUGUGUCCCCUCCAUGUCACCAUCGUGUCCNNNNNNNNNNNNNNNNNNNNNNNNNNNNNNNNNNNNNNNNNNNNNNNNNNNNNNNNN